CCGUAAACGAUGAACACUAGGUGUUGGUGGAGUCGAAUCCGUCGGUGCCGCAGUUAACGCGUUAAGUGUUCCGCCUGGGGAGUACGGCCGCAAGGCUAAAACUCAAGAGAAUUGACGGGGGCCCGCACAAGCAGCGGAGCAUGUUCUUUAAUUCGAUGCAACGCGAAGAACCUUACCUGGACUUGACAUGGUGCUGCAAGCGCACGGAAACGUGUGACCUUAGAGGGUGCACCACAGAUGCUGCAUGGCUGUCGUCAGCUCGUGUCGUGAGAUGUUGGGUUAAGUCCCGCAACGAGCGCAACCCCCGUCGUGUGUUGCCAUCAUUUAGUUGGGGACUCACGCGAGACUGCCGGUGACAAACCGGAGGAAGGUGGGGAUGACGUCAAGUCAUCAUGGCUCUUACGUCCAGGGCUAGAAACGUGCUACAAUGGCGUACACAAAGGGCAGCAAGACCGCGAGGUGGAGCGAAUCCCAUCAAAGUACGUCUAAGUUCGGAUCGCAGUCUGCAACUCGACUGCGUGAAGGCGGAGUUGCUAGUAAUCGCGGAUCAGAACGCCGCGGUGAAUGCGUUCCCGGGCCUUGUACACACCGCCCGUCACACCACGGGAGUAAGUAAUGCCCGAAGUGGGCGCAGCUAACCGGCUUGUCCGGAGGCGGCUCACGAAGGUAGGAUCUGCGACUGGGGUGAAGU
This 691-nucleotide ribosomal RNA is filed under the name uncultured Rubrobacter sp. Its description in RNAcentral is "bacterial SSU rRNA". It matches the Rfam family "Bacterial small subunit ribosomal RNA", at positions 800 to 1486 of the family's 1533-position model. The record is from RNAcentral. Lineage: Bacteria; Bacillati; Actinomycetota; Rubrobacteria; Rubrobacterales; Rubrobacteraceae.